RNAcentral lists this long non-coding RNA (664 nucleotides) under Equus caballus (horse). Its description in RNAcentral is "lncRNA (ENSECAG00000043889.1)". The record is from RNAcentral. Lineage: Eukaryota; Metazoa; Chordata; Mammalia; Perissodactyla; Equidae.
CAGAGACAGAAACGAAACCCCUUCGUGUCAUUUCGUCUCGACUCUCGGACCGUGGAAGCGUAUUACCUGUUCAAAACUAUCAGAUUGGUUCACAGUCUGAGAGCGAUUCGGUCAAGAUUCCUGGAGAAAACAACUUCCUAAACCCGGCAAUGCAAUGUGCCUCCCCAGACGGGUUCCUGCCGCCUCCUGUUAGCGUUUCCAGCCCGUCAGCUGCCGGCAGGCCCAUUGGAGAGGGCCCACCUGGCUGCCCCCUGGGGCAAUCCGUGUCCGCGGCCACCGUCCCACCCUGGCGCUGACCCUGCAUGCAACAGGAGAGCCUGGCCCUUCCAGUGGGACAUCUCAGACCCAGCCUCCUGCUCUGGGGACCCGGCGCCACGUUGUGAGAAAGGCCCAGCUGCGUGCGGGUGCUCCUGUCGACGUCCCAGCCCACAGCCAGCUAUGAACAAUCCACGCCGUGACAACCGCAGAUUUGCACUUGAUGUCAAAAUACCUGGAAAUUCCACCCUCCUCUCCCUCCACUGGCCUUUCCCUGGCCUGAGAAUGUCACGCUGGACCGACGAACGCAACCUGGGGGAAAUGUCCCUGGCCGUAAUCUCUGAGCCAAAGGUCAGGACACACGAUGUAGCGUGAGCCUGUGGCAUCCACUGGGAACUGCGAUCAGGAC